AAAAAGCUUGAAUACGCGUGAAAUAUUCCUUAAAAAGGAAAAGGCAUCGUUAGGGCUUGGCUAAAACAUUAUCAGAGUUUGCAACGGAAGGCGUAACUGAAAUAAUCAGUGUUUACAGCGGAAUGCAUAACUGAGAUACAUGUAUGAAGACAUGUACCCUUUCUGAGCCUACUUUAAGUUCGACAAAAACUCCACUCAGCAACAACACUUCAUCGCCCAUCACAGCUCAACCUGCACAAACAUAAACAUCGAAGGGCUAAGUACAAG
Molecule: long non-coding RNA, 267 nt
Filed under: Salvia miltiorrhiza (redroot sage)
Lineage: Eukaryota; Viridiplantae; Streptophyta; Magnoliopsida; Lamiales; Lamiaceae
Description: long non-coding RNA (SMIL_LNC003642)
Source: RNAcentral